UACGUAGGGGCAAGCGUUAUCCGGAUUUACUGGGUGUAAAGGGAGCGCAGACGGAACUGCAAGUCUGAUGUGAAAGCCCGGGGCUCAACCGCGGGACUGCAUCGGAUACUGUGGAUCUGGAGUGCCGGAGGGGCAAGCGGAAUUCCUGGUGUAGCGGUGAAAUGCGUAGAUAUCAGGAGGAACACCGGCGGCGAAGGCGGCUUGCUGGACGGCAACUGACGUUGAGGCUCGAAAGCGUGGGGAGCAAACAAGAUUAGAUACCCCGGUA
Molecule: ribosomal RNA, 268 nt
Filed under: uncultured prokaryote
Description: partial 16S ribosomal RNA
Rfam family: Bacterial small subunit ribosomal RNA
Source: RNAcentral